This 81-nucleotide transfer RNA is filed under the name Frateuria aurantia DSM 6220. RNAcentral's name for it is "tRNA-Und (NNN) (tRNA-Und-NNN-1-1)". The record is from RNAcentral. Lineage: Bacteria; Pseudomonadati; Pseudomonadota; Gammaproteobacteria; Lysobacterales; Rhodanobacteraceae.
GCUUGAUCUUGUGGGUAAAUUACGCGGACUCAAAAUCCUCCGCCGCAAGGCUUGUCGGUUCGAGUCCGACCUCGGGCACCA